UUACGGCCAUAUCACGUUGAAAACCCGGUUCCCGUCCGAUCACUGAAGUUAAGCAACGUCGAAUCUGACUAUUACCUAGAUGGGUGACCGCUUGGGAAUAGCAGGUGCCGUAAG
Acanthosepion pharaonis is the source of this 114-nucleotide non-coding RNA. The record is from the annotation of a GenBank genome assembly. Lineage: Eukaryota; Metazoa; Mollusca; Cephalopoda; Sepiida; Sepiidae.